UCGGUCCACCUCCUCGGCGCCGCCGCACCACCAGGUAUCGGGCUCUAGAGUUACUUCAGUCGCCAAUAUAUGGCUCUGCAGUUGAUUUAUGGGCAAUGGGCGCCAUCAUGGCUGAAUUAUUUACUCUUCGUCCUCUU
Molecule: long non-coding RNA, 137 nt
Organism: Helianthus annuus (common sunflower)
Lineage: Eukaryota; Viridiplantae; Streptophyta; Magnoliopsida; Asterales; Asteraceae
Exons: 3
Source: RefSeq, a predicted model, not a curated record